This is a non-coding RNA of Syntrophobacterales bacterium GWC2_56_13, 175 nucleotides long. Lineage: Bacteria; Pseudomonadati; Thermodesulfobacteriota; Syntrophobacteria; Syntrophobacterales. The record is from Rfam.
GUCGUCGUAAGGCGGGGUCUGGAGGAAGCCCAAUCCAAAAGUGCGGGGCGACGAACAGGAACCGGAUAUGAGGUGUGGUACGUUCGGGGCGAGCGGGCACGUGACUGCGAAGCCCUCCAUCCGCAAAUGGGGCGUGCUUUAUAAAUCCGGCGUUUACGCACGGAAAGUUCUGUGU